ACUGCGCUUGUCUGUGCCUCGCACCACUCCUACCUAGAUACUACGAGAGCCUUUACUCAGGACGAACAUCUCCUGUGCAGAUCUUGUGUAGGAUUCUCUAGUUUCCUACCUUUGCCCUCCUAGCUAUGGUCAUCGACACACUCAUGAUCCAUGGGCGGCCACCACGGAUGAGAUCUACUUCACCAUUGCCAAGCUUGCGCAUGCUAUCGAUCGGCUUACCUGUUUUUGUGCUGAAAUGGAUUGAUUGAUGUACCAUAAGGUUGCAUAGUCCGGUUCUCUUCCUCAUCUUAAGUGUUCUGCUCGCCGGUCCUGACACGUUCGCUGGCGGGCUUCUGGGUUUGGGGUCUCCUCUCCCUAGAGGACCUAGAGGAAGGGCGCCAGAGGCUCGUCCGACAACAUCGGAGGGUCACGGAGCAAGGAGAGAUGGUGGGGGUAUUGCUUAGUUGGGUAGCAGGUGACAACUGGUGGGGAGGGUUAGGGCAGAGGGAUCGGCCACGAUGUGAUUCAAGAAGGGCAAGGAGGAGGGUGGUGACAAUAGAGAGAGGCAGGCGGUGGAAGGGGAGGUACCAGUGAGCUGGUGGCCACAACGCCAGUGGAGGCACCAUAGGCCAUGGCUAGAGGAGGUCAACAGGUGGGGGUGGGUGAGCACUGUAAGGGCGUGAGCUUCUGGUGGUGGUGUGGGGGCAAGAAGGCAGGGGACAAUUUGGAUCAUGCACCGACCGACCUUAGCUUCUAGGUUGAUCAAACCCUCGAAAUAGCUAGGGUUGCAACCUAGCAUGUGGUUGGUACUAACACGGGCCCAGGUUAGCACGCCAGCUACUGCCCAUGGAGGAUGUUCAAGGGGCCUAAGAGCCCACAUGUUGCCUAUUUUCCCGAAUUAAUCACUUAUCUCACUUACUCCCUCUAUCUCUCUUAGAUCUGCCGGGUGCACGCAUGGACAAAUCCAGCUUUAUAAACAAAAAUUAUUCUUUCAUAUGGACAUGAAGAAUUAUGCCCAAAGAUUUGGUAACAUUAAUUUUUGCAGUGGCGGUGUGCUUGGGGUUUCGGUCUUCAUUAUUGGAUCAACAACACCCAGACAAACAGACAUCCUCCAUUGCCAAAUUAAACCAGCCGCAAGAUUUGAGGGCACUAAACGGAAACGAAGUGAUGCCGCUUGUUCAAGUGGCAUUACUAAUUUUCCGCCUCCUCAUCUUGGGGCAAUAGAGCCGAUGCUUCUCUGGGCAAACUGCGCGGAUCGCCUGGGCCGAACAGGGAGCGCCCAAUUGAAGAAUGGUUUUGCAGGUCAAGGGGCAAAUCCGGCACCCUAAUUGAGAUGCGUCGGGGAAGGGGGCCGUUCGACACCAUGGAGCAGCAGAAGGAUGUGCUGCUAGCUAGCCAAGCAUCAAAGCAGCACAAGCUUGAGUGCAAUGGCUUGCUAAGCAUGCAUCAAAGCAUGU
Panicum hallii is the source of this 1436-nucleotide RNA transcript. RefSeq lists it as uncharacterized. The transcript is spliced from 5 exons. NCBI's taxonomy places the organism in Eukaryota, Viridiplantae, Streptophyta, Magnoliopsida, Poales, Poaceae. The record is from RefSeq and is a predicted model, not a curated record.